RNAcentral lists this small RNA (79 nucleotides) under Rhizobium leguminosarum bv. viciae WSM1455. Its description in RNAcentral is "suhB". The stretch from base 1 to 70 matches the Rfam family "Alphaproteobacterial ar15", at positions 44 to 112 of the family's 112-position model. Lineage: Bacteria; Pseudomonadati; Pseudomonadota; Alphaproteobacteria; Hyphomicrobiales; Rhizobiaceae. The record is from RNAcentral.
AGCUGUUCCCCUCUGGAGGUUUUUGACCUUCACACUUAAAAGGGCCCUGGUUUUCCAGUGGCCCUCUUUUUUUGCCUUU